This 478-nucleotide ribosomal RNA is filed under the name uncultured bacterium. Its description in RNAcentral is "bacterial SSU rRNA". It matches the Rfam family "Bacterial small subunit ribosomal RNA", at positions 30 to 524 of the family's 1533-position model. The record is from RNAcentral.
AUUGAACGCUGGCGGCAUGCCUUACACAUGCAAGUCGAACGGCAGCACGGGGGCAACCCUGGUGGCGAGUGGCGAACGGGUGAGUAACAUAUCGGAACAUACCCUAGAGUGGGGGAUAACGUAGCGAAAGUUACGCUAAUACCGCAUACGAUCUAAGGAUGAAAGUGGGGGAUCUUCGGACCUCAUGCUCAUGGAGUGGCCGAUAUCUGAUUAGCUAGUUGGUGAGGUAAAGGCUCACCAAGGCGACGAUCAGUAGCUGGUUUGAGAGAACGACCAGCCACACUGGAACUGAGACACGGUCCAGACUCCUACGGAGGCAGCAGUGGGGAAUAUUGGACAAUGGGGGCAACCCUGAUCCAGCAAUGCCACGUGAGUGAUGAAGGCCUUAGGGGUUGUAAAGCUCUUUUUGCCAGGGAAGAUGAUGACUGUACCUGGAGAAUAAGCCCCCGGCUAACUUCGUGCCAGCAGCCGCGGUAAU